AACUUUAUUUAUUUCCUUCCCUCUUUUUAAAAUAGAAUAUUCGUCGAUAGGCGCUAAUAAAUUAAUUUCCGUGCUAUAUUUACCCUGGCCGUAAUAACUACCACGCAAUCCAUUAAUUUAAUAUAUUUUCAUUUUUGGACUUUUUCGUAGCAAUGGUUGAAAUUUACGAAUUUUUAUUUUAACGGACAUGUCCAUACGAUAUAAUUAUCCUGUAUAAUUAGCCUUUGUGGCCGCCAAACCGAAUGGGGAGGGGUUGGCCAGGCGAAAUAGCCGUUAAUAUAUAAAUACAACUAUCCCUUUUUCCUUAUUUAAACUACCGGAUAAUAAAUAGCCUAUUAAUCCAAUAUGGUUAAUAAAAGUCCCUUUAUUUAAUUAAAAUUGUUUGGGCCGUUUUAAUUAAUAUUUUAUCGAAACGGUGGCAAACCACAGCGGAACGCGGGUGGUUUUAUAAUUGGCGAUACUGUCCCGUUGGAACAUAGGCUUUAGCCUAAACGAAAUAACGGAUAUAAAUAAUAAAAAAAUACAGGUUAAAGGGUUAAAAAAAUCAAUGCAAAUUUAUUAUUAAAUUAUAUAAUUACCAAUUAGUUCGAUUCCUGGCUGCGUUUUAAUUAACAAUUAUUAAGGGGGUCCGGUAUUUAAUAAUAUAAUUGGUUAUAACCGCAUAAUAUUAUAUAAUAAAAUAUACCUAAAUGCAUAGCUAAGGAUAUCCGGUAUAGUAUAAUAUGGUUUGGUUACCCUUUAUUAUAAUAUUACCACAUAUUUAAUCCGCCUCGUGUUUUUUUCUAUCAAAGGAUUAAAAUUUUUAUAUUCCAGUUAAAACCACGGGUAAUUUUGGUUUCCCGGUUUUUUCCCACACGUUUUUGCCAAUUUAUUUAUAUUUGACAAACCAAUAAAUAUAUUUAAAAAACCAUAUAUAUAUUACACGUAAAUAAUCGAUAUUUUGCCGUCUCCGCAAAAUUUGGAAAUAUCCGCCCGGAUAACCCAAUUUGGGGUCGAAUAUUGGCGUCGAGGAAUUAGGUAUUUGACAAAUCUGGCUUUUAUUUGCCCCCGUUUAAAAAAUCCAACCUCCGUUUAUAUUAUUAAUGGAAAAAUACAAAUAUAUCCCGUUUUUUUUAAUUUGCCAGAUCCGCCUUUUAAGGUUUUUUACCGGACGAACAAAUGACGAAUUGUCCGGCGAAUUGUUUUAUAUAUCCCUUAAUUGCGCGCCGCGUUUUACAACGUUUUCGUACGCGUGGGGUAACCCGGAACCCCGGAAAGCAAUUCGCUGCUAUAACCUUAUUGCUGAAAUUGGUCCCAAUUUGCACAAUGUUUUGCGGUAUUUUAAAAGGCCUAAUAACGAUAUUAUCCUUUGGGCGGAUACGCUGUGCAUCGACCAAAAAAAUAUACCAAAAUUUAACGAACAGGUUAAAAUAAUGGGCGAUAUUUACGCCUCGGCGAUUUCCACAAUUAUUUGGUUUGGAAAAAAGUCGGCCGAGGUUAAAAUGGCUUUUGGUUAGUUACGCAACUUUAACAAAACUAUAGAUUUAUAAGAAUCCAAUUAGUAGGCAUGGAAAUACAAUUUUAAAUUCAUCGAUAAAUAUUAUACCGAGGCGAUAUUACAAAAUGUUUUCGGUAAUUGCAAAUUAUUUGCCUUUAAAAACAUUUGGGUUUUGUUCAAUUAUCCGUAAUUUAUACGAAAAUGGGUUAUUUAGGAGCUCGUUAAAUCGCGCAUAUUAUUAUUAAUUAACGGCAGAAAUUGCAUCCCGUGGCCGUUUUUAUUAAUAUAAUUAAAAUUUAUUAAAAAAUGUACAAUUUAAUACGAGGAUUUCAAAUUAUUUUGCCCACGAUUUUUUAAGGUUAACUCCAAAAUUUUGGGAAUAUAUAAACUGCGAAUUACGUUUUUGUGGCGGAUUGCAAACCAAGAAACCCUUUUUUUGCUAUUUUUUUUAACGAGGACGCUGCAAUUUAAAUACCGCGACCCUCGCGAUUACGUAUUUGUUUUAAUAGGGAUCGCAUCGGACGCAAAACGUUUUUCCCCCGCUAAUUACGGGAAAAAAACUAAGGAUAUAUUCCGGCAAUUUGUUUAUAUUUGCGUGUCUAAUAUUAUAAACCUCAAACUGCUGUGGUUUUUUUUCUUUUUAAUACCUUUGGAAAAACGGUUGUAUUUUUAGGUAUUUAAUAUAAAAAAAGGUAUGGUUAAAUGCGACGGGGGCGUUCUGCCUACCCAGUUUUCCGUGCAGCAGAAAAGAAAUUAUAAUAUAGGUGGAAAAUCGUUUCCGGAACCAUAAUUAAACCGAAGUCGAAAUUUGUUUAAAAUGGUGGGCCGCAUCGUCGAUAAAAUUUAAUUUUUUGGGUCCGAUAAUAAAAAUUUUAUUAAUAUUUAAAUUAUCGAAGAUAUAAUAAAAAUAAGGAGCGAUUUUAGAAUUUUCGGGCAAAAUUUCCAAUUAUUGUUCCAACAAAAAUACCAAUGGUUGGAAAAGUGCAUCGCCAUCGCAGCAAAAAUUAUUAGCAGAAAUAAUACCGAGGAGGCGUUUAAAAACGUUUUUUUAAACGAUAAAAUGGUUAGCGAAAAAGCAUUUUAAAAUUUAGCGGUGGCGAGGCGAAAAUUUUCUAUUUGUAUGCGCCUAAUAAAAAAAAAAGCAUGUAAUAAUUAACUGUGGUUUUUGGCCGUUUUUAACCGUUUAAACCUUAAGUCCGGUUAUUUUUUGGAAAAUAUAAUAUCGGACAAAUUUCAGCGGCGAUUCGGUGGUACGGAGGGCAGGAAAAUAGGCUGGUUAUUACCGGUGGCCGAGGAAAAAGACUUUAUUUGUAUUUUUAACGGUAUGGAGCUCCCAUAUAUUAUCCGUCCAACGGGUAACGGCCGAUACCUUUUCGUUAAUAAUUGUAUAAUUAUGGGACUUAUAAUGGGAAAAGGGAUGCAGUUGCCCAAAACGGAAUCGCAGAUAAUAAUAUUUAAAUAACCAAUAUAAAGGUAAUAUUUUCGAUGGAAAAAUUUAUAAUAUUAUUAAUAUAUAAAAAUUGUUAUUUUCCUCUAUAUUGCGCCAGGGGGUUCCUACCAAAGGUCUUCCUAGAUUUUUAUCUGGUUAUUUAUUAAUUAGUUACAAUUUCCAAAAUCGUGGUGUUUGUACGGCCCUGCAAACGGGGCAGGGAUCGCCGGGUCGUGGAUGGGUACCGACCUGGUUAGCGUAUUCUGUUUUGGUUACCCUGACAAAAAAAUAAAUUAUGCGUUUCGGCAAUUUAAAAUACUUAAGGCCAAAAGCGAUCCCGCCGGCGAUAGAAUUGCAAGUCCGGCGGCCGACCGGAAUAACCGGGGCUAAUAAACCCUUAUAAUAACGAAAGCACUUUAAAAAGAUUAGCGGUAAUAAUUUCCAAGAUUUUUAAUGUUACCAAACAAUCUGGCGGUCCUGUUUAGGUUAAAUAUAACGUAAUAAAAAGCCAGUUUUAUUUAUUUAGGAUUAAUUUUGUUAAAAUGCUACCAAACGAUUUUUACGUUAAAUGGAAAUCGACGAUAAAAACGAAAGGUUUGGCACUUUUUAAAAGUCCGGGUAUAAUAUUUAAUGGUAAAAAUAUUAUAAAAAUUAACCCCGGGUACGCCCUGUUAGCCACCCCCGCCUAUUGGCCACCCAAAAUUCUAAGAACCAAAUUUCGUAUUUUUCAAAACAAUUUAAAUAUACAAUUAUUAACGCACAAUAAUAUAAUCGUUUUCAAACUUUUCCGGUUUAUUAACCUUUUAUUUAUUAUUUAAAAUUUCCAAACUAGCCAUAUUAUUUUCCUGCGAUUAAUUAAAUUUUUUUUUUACUAACCAAAUGCUCGUUUGGAUCCGGAAUAUAAGGAUUAGGCCACCAAAUUUACCCUCGGAAUCACUAUUCCAUUUACCAGACACGUUAUACCCAGGGCUCGCAAAAGGUCCACUAAUUCCGGAUUUAAACGCGUCUCUCCAGCGCGUCGUUAAUUGUAAUUUUUCUUUUUUCGUCAAUUUAAAAUUUUCGUUAAUAACGCCUAAUAUAUUAAAAUUCUCCAAUAUAUA
RNAcentral lists this small RNA (4006 nucleotides) under Pyricularia oryzae. RNAcentral describes it as "Magnaporthe oryzae sRNA M_BR32_EuGene_00145871". Lineage: Eukaryota; Fungi; Ascomycota; Sordariomycetes; Magnaporthales; Pyriculariaceae. The record is from RNAcentral.